This 267-nucleotide unclassified non-coding RNA is filed under the name uncultured fungus. Its description in RNAcentral is "sequence contains 5.8S rRNA gene". Lineage: Eukaryota; Fungi. The record is from RNAcentral.
GAACGCACAUUGCGCCCCUUGGUUAUUCCGAAGGGCAUGCCUGUUCGAGCGUCAUUAUCACCCCUCAAGCCCUAGCUUGGUGUUGGACUUUAGUCAUAGCUUUGCCUAUCGACUGGUCUCAAAGAUAGUGACGGCGCCCCAGAGGGAACCGGGUACGAGGAGCUUUUUAUUAAGCAUGUAUCUGGGACGACUCUGAUGGACGACGGUCUUGUUAUACUUUUACCUAAGUGUUGACCUCGGAUCAGGUAGGAAUACCCGCUGAACUUA